GCAUAAUAAGUUGCCUCUUAAUUAGAGGCUAGAAUCAACGAACUAACGCGAGCCCCCCUGUCUCUCUUAUGCCCCCAAAACUUAACCUUUAGGUGAAAAUGCCUAAAUACAACUAAUAGACAAGAAGACCCUAUCGAGCUUCAUUGCAAAUUAUCAAGAGGCCAACUUGCUCACCCCCCCUUCAUAAAGUCGCAAUUUUGUUGGGGCAACAAAGGACCAUCUAAACCUUCCUUAAAUACCUUUAAUAACAAUAACAACGAGCCAAUAAAACGAUCUUAGGAUAAAUGCUACCGUAGGGAUAACAGGUUAAUUUUUCUCGAGAGCCCACAUUAACAGAAAAGU
This 342-nucleotide ribosomal RNA is filed under the name Paramphinome jeffreysii. RNAcentral's name for it is "partial 16S ribosomal RNA". It matches the Rfam family "Bacterial large subunit ribosomal RNA", at positions 1959 to 2517 of the family's 2925-position model. The record is from RNAcentral. Lineage: Eukaryota; Metazoa; Annelida; Polychaeta; Eunicida; Amphinomidae.